CUCAAGGUUGAUGUCUAAAAGA
RNAcentral lists this non-coding RNA (22 nucleotides) under Rattus norvegicus (Norway rat). Lineage: Eukaryota; Metazoa; Chordata; Mammalia; Rodentia; Muridae. The record is from RNAcentral.